UUACCUUCGGGUAUUGAGGAUGGCGGACGGGUGAGUAACGCGUAAGGAACUUGCCUCUUGGUCUGGGACAACUGUUGGAAACGACAGCUAAUACCGGAUAUUAUGAGAUUCUCGCAUGGGAAACUUAUGAAAGCUAUAUGCGCCAAGAGAGAGCCUUGCGUUCCAUUAGCUAGUUGGUGGGGUAACGGCCCACCAAGGCGACGAUGGAUAGCCGGCCUGAGAAGGUGAACGGCCACAAGGGGACUGAGACACGGCCCUUACUCCUACGGGAGGCAGCAGUGGGGAAUAUUGGACAAUGGGCCACAAGCCUGAUCCAGCAAUUCUGUGUGCACGAUGAAGGUCUUCGGAUUGUAAAGUGCUUUCAGUUGGGAAGAAGAAAGUGACGGUACCAACAGAAGAAGCGACGGCUAAAUACGUGCCAGCAGCCGCGGUAAUACGUAUGUCGCAAGCGUUAUCCGGAUUUAUUGGGCGUAAAGCGCGUCUAGGCGGAAAAAUAAGUCUGAUGUUAAAAUGCGGGGCUCAACUCCGUAUUGCGUUGGAAACUGUUUUUCUAGAGUACUGGAGAGGUGGGCGGAACUACAAGUGUAGAGGUGAAAUUCGUAGAUAUUUGUAGGAAUGCCGAUGGAGAAGUCAGCUCACUGGACAGAUACUGACGCUAAAGCGCGAAAGCGUG
RNAcentral lists this ribosomal RNA (673 nucleotides) under uncultured bacterium. RNAcentral describes it as "bacterial SSU rRNA". It matches the Rfam family "Bacterial small subunit ribosomal RNA", at positions 74 to 763 of the family's 1533-position model. The record is from RNAcentral.